RNAcentral lists this unclassified non-coding RNA (348 nucleotides) under soil metagenome. RNAcentral's name for it is "partial contains 5.8S ribosomal RNA, internal transcribed spacer 2, and large subunit ribosomal RNA". The stretch from base 1 to 120 matches the Rfam family "5.8S ribosomal RNA", at positions 35 to 154 of the family's 154-position model. The record is from RNAcentral.
GAUGAAGAACGUAGCGAAAUGCGAUAAGUAAUGUGAAUUGCAGAAUUCAGUGAAUCAUCGAAUCUUUGAACGCACAUUGCGCCCGCCAGUAUUCUGGCGGGCAUGCCUGUCUGAGCGUCAUUUCAACCCUCAUGCCCCUAGGGCGUGGUGUUGGGGAUCGGCCAAAGCCCGCGAGGGACGGCCGGCCCCUAAAUCUAGUGGCGGACCCGUCGUGGCCUCCUCUGCGAAGUAGUGAUAUUCCGCAUCGGAGAGCGACGAGCCCCUGCCGUUAAACACCCAACUUUCCAAGGUUGACCUCAGAUCAGGUAGGAAUACCCGCUGAACUUAAGCAUAUCAAUAAGCGGAGGA